This 301-nucleotide ribosomal RNA is filed under the name uncultured bacterium. RNAcentral describes it as "partial 16S ribosomal RNA". It matches the Rfam family "Bacterial small subunit ribosomal RNA", at positions 509 to 809 of the family's 1533-position model. The record is from RNAcentral.
CAGCAGCCGCGGUAAUACGAAGGGGGCUAGCGUUGCUCGGAAUGACUGGGCGUAAAGGGCGCGUAGGCGGAUGGCACAGUCUGAUGUGAAAUUCCCGGGCUUAACCUGGGGGCUGCAUUUGAUACGUGUUGUCUAGAGUGAGGAAGAGGGUUGUGGAAUUCCCAGUGUAGAGGUGAAAUUCGUAGAUAUUGGGAAGAACACCGGUGGCGAAGGCGGCAACCUGGUCCUUGACUGACGCUGAGGCGCGAAAGCGUGGGGAGCAAACAGGAUUAGAUACCCCCGUAGUCCUGUCUCUUAUACA